GAACGCAUAUUGCACUCUCUGGUAUUCCGGAGAGUACACCUGUUUCAGUAUCAAAAAUGACAUCCAAAAUUUGGUUUGUUUGCUUUAGUCAGACAGUGCCGAAUUAUUGGGAUUUGGGUUCUGUCAAAUUUUUGUUUGGCUGACCUUAAAACAAUUUAGCCACAUCAUGAAAAAGGUAUGGGUGAUAAGGCGUAAUAGUUGGUACUCUUUCGUGUCCAUCCCUUUCGCUGAAAGCCUUGUCUAUUUUUGUAAAAAGUUGGCUCAAUAAUAUGGAAAAUUUGAAGAAAUAUAGUUUUUUCAACCAUUGUUUAGAUCUGAAAUCAGGUGGGACUACCCGCUGAACUUAA
This 347-nucleotide unclassified non-coding RNA is filed under the name uncultured Endogone. Its description in RNAcentral is "partial contains 5.8S ribosomal RNA, internal transcribed spacer 2, and large subunit ribosomal RNA". Lineage: Eukaryota; Fungi; Mucoromycota; Endogonomycetes; Endogonales; Endogonaceae. The record is from RNAcentral.